Molecule: ribosomal RNA, 253 nt
Filed under: uncultured bacterium
Lineage: Bacteria
Description: partial 16S ribosomal RNA
Rfam family: Bacterial small subunit ribosomal RNA
Source: RNAcentral
UACGGAGGGUGCGAGCGUUAAUCGGAAUUACUGGGCGUAAAGCGUGCGUAGGCGGUCGCGUUAGUCAGCCGUGAAAGCCCUGGGCUUAACCUGGGAAUGGCGGUUGAAACGGCUCGACUCGAGUGGGUUAGAGGGCUGUGGAACUCCCGGUGUAGCGGUGAAAUGCGUAGAGAUCGGGAAGAACACCGAUGGCGAAGGCAGCAGCCUGGGGCCACACUGACGCUGAGGCACGAAAGCGUGGGGAGCAAACAGG